This 44-nucleotide ribosomal RNA is filed under the name Tindallia californiensis. RNAcentral describes it as "16S rRNA. Bacterial SSU". Lineage: Bacteria; Bacillati; Bacillota; Clostridia; Peptostreptococcales; Tindalliaceae. The record is from RNAcentral.
AUUUAUAUAAGAGUUUGAUCCUGGCUCAGGAUGAACGCUGGCGG